UAGAGUUUGAUCAUGGCUCAGGACGAACGCUGGCGGCGCGCCUAACACAUGCAAGUCGAACGGAAUCUAAUUGGAGCUUGCUCCGGGUAGAUUUAGUGGCGGACGGGUGAGUAACACGUGAGCAACCUGCCUUUCAGAGGGGGAUAACGUUUGGAAACGAACGCUAAUACCGCAUAACAUCUACUGGUGGCAUCACCGGGAGAUCAAAGGAGCAAUUCGCUGAAAGAUGGGCUCGCGCCCGAUUAGAUAGUUGGUGGGGUAAUGGCCCACCAAGUCUGCGAUCGGUAGCCGGACUGAGAGGUUGAUCGGCCACAUUGGGACUGAGACACGGCCCAGACUCCUACGGGAGGCAGCAGUGGGGAAUAUUGCACAAUGGGGGAAACCCUGAUGCAGCGACGCCGCGUGAGUGAAGACGGUCUUCGGAUUGUAAAGCUCUGUCUUCGGGGACGAUAAUGACGGUACCCGAGGAGGAAGCCACGGCUAACUACGUGCCAGCAGCCGCGGUAAUACGUAGGUGGCGAGCGUUGUCCGGAAUUACUGGGUGUAAAGGGAGCGCAGGCGGGGAGCCAAGUUGGAUGUGAAAUACCGCAGCUCAA
Molecule: ribosomal RNA, 596 nt
Filed under: uncultured Clostridiaceae bacterium
Lineage: Bacteria; Bacillati; Bacillota; Clostridia; Eubacteriales; Clostridiaceae
Description: bacterial SSU rRNA
Rfam family: Bacterial small subunit ribosomal RNA
Source: RNAcentral